GCCGAAGUAGCCCGGUCGAGGACGUUUGCUUUGCGGAGGUGAUGCGUCAGGCCCAUUCUCCCCUAUGCUUCAGUUAGCAAGUUGACGAUAACCUGGAUGGAGCGCAAGCCUCUGAAUGCGUAUAUGUGCAAGUGUUGUCUGCAUACUGCGGUUUGGUGACUGAGGUUGGGUUUACCUCGGUUAAGCACUCACGCUGUUAAUGUCAGCCUGAUUCUCUGUGUGUGUUAGAGAGACAAAUACUCUGAAAGUGCUGAAAAGCAGAUCUGAAUUUCACACAGCAGAAUGUAAAUUACAUAUAUUCUCUGUGAAAUGGCUGGUCUCUUUAAUCCCGACCAGCUGAUUUGGCUAGCACAUAAACCAGGCCCCUCGUGUACAAUUGGCUCCGGGCUGGAAAAGAAAGGUGAAAAUGCGGAAGUUUCCACCCCGACUGGGUACUUUCAUAAUUAGAUCAUCGCCUCAACUUUGGUCUUCAACUGGAUUUCCGGGGCACAAACACAGUAUCGAUGGCUACUUUAAAUUCCGAGCGGAGAGCUUUCGUUCAGAAGAUCAACAGGUAUUCCUCAGCUGAAAUUAGGAGGCAAUGUUUCCAGCAAACAAACCAGACCGCCAUCAAUUACCAACGCCAUACAAGUGGCUGUGGCUCUCUCUCAUUUCAGAUUGUUUGAGAAAUGGAAGCUACCUAUCCCUCUUGUACAAAUUCAGCCCAACUCAGAGCAAAAUUACGAUUGUGGAGGCUCUUUUCAAUUAUUCAUUUUGCUAAACUGAUACCAUAUGAAACUUUCAAAUAAAUAAGAUCAUUCAAAC
This is a long non-coding RNA of Pristis pectinata (smalltooth sawfish), 804 nucleotides long. RefSeq lists it as uncharacterized. The transcript has 3 exons. The record is from RefSeq and is a predicted model, not a curated record. Lineage: Eukaryota; Metazoa; Chordata; Chondrichthyes; Rhinopristiformes; Pristidae.